Molecule: ribosomal RNA, 254 nt
Filed under: uncultured bacterium
Lineage: Bacteria
Description: partial 16S ribosomal RNA
Rfam family: Bacterial small subunit ribosomal RNA
Source: RNAcentral
CACGUAGGCACCAAGCGUUGUCCGGAUUUAUUGGGCGUAAAGAGCUCGUAGGCGGUUCGGUAAGUCGGGUGUGAAAUCUCUGGGCUCAACCCAGAGGGGCCACUCGAUACUGCUGUGACUAGAGUGCGGUAGGGGAGUGGGGAAUUCCUGGUGUAGCGGUGAAAUGCGCAGAUAUCAGGAGGAACACCAGUGGCGAAGGCGCCACUCUGGGCCGUAACUGACGCUGAGGAGCGAAAGCGUGGGUAGCAAACAGG